Molecule: long non-coding RNA, 2580 nt
Organism: Symphalangus syndactylus (siamang)
Lineage: Eukaryota; Metazoa; Chordata; Mammalia; Primates; Hylobatidae
Source: RefSeq, a predicted model, not a curated record
CGCGGGAGCCUGGCGGGGACGGCGCGGUCAGUGUUCGGCUCCUCCGCAGUGACUCACCCGCGUCCUGAAGUUUUUGAUCACCAUUGGCUGGGAAGGAAAAACAGAAUCAGCUGUUCCCUGCGAAAGGUUAACAUUCCUGCUCCUUCCUUUAAAAAUGAAGCUCAAGGCCAGGCGCGGUGGCUCACGCCUGUAAUCUCAACACUUUGGGAGGCCGAGGCCGACGUAUCACGAGAUCAGGAGUUCGAGACCAGCCUGGCCAACGUGGUGAAACCCUGUCUCUACUAAAAAUACAAAAACUAGCCGUAACCCCUGCUACUCGGAAGGCUGAGGCAGGAGAAUCGCUUGAACCCGGGAGGCGGAGGUUGCAGUGAGCGGAGAUCGCGCCUCUGCACUCCAGCCUGGGACAGAGCGAGACUCCGUCUCAAAAAAAAAAAAAAAAAAAAAAGGAAGCUCAAGAUGAAGAGUCAGAAGUGGUAACUUGUUUGUUGCACAAGAAACAAAUUUAAGGCCGGGCGCGGUGGCUCACGCUUGUAAUCCCAGCACUUUGGGAGGCCGAGGCGGGCGGAUCACGAGGUCAGGAGAUCGAGACCAUGGUGAAACCCUGUCUCUACUAAAAAUACAAAAAAUUAGCCGGGCGUGGUGGCGGGCGCCUGUAGUCCCAGCUACUCAGAGAGGCUGAGGCAGGAGAAUGGCGUGAACCUGGGAAGCUGAGCUUGCAGUGAGCCGAGAUUGCGCCACUGCACUCCAGCCUGGGCGACAGAGCGAGACUCCGUCUCAAAAAAAAAAAAAAAAAAGAAACAAAUUUAGCAUUCUAUUUAGGGGAUCCAGAUUACGAAAAAAAGUGAUUUCUGCAUUAAGUAUAUUAAUAAAACUUUAUCACUAUAAACAAUUCUGUAACAGGAACGCCAAGGAAAAAUAUUUGACUUUUUAGAGAAGUCAUUUUUUAAACUUUUAGAGGUUGUGACAUUUAAGUAACAUAAUUUUAUUUAGUACGUGGUAUGCAAAGACAUUCUGCUGGGUAUGGCAGCAAAUAGCUUUGUAAAUCGCAGUGUCCCAUCUAAUUAACCCACAUUGUAACAGGUGGUUUUAUUUUGCAGCACUGCACCACAGUCAGGUAACACCAAGAAUAUCGUUAAUGUACUUUUUUAAGUUGAUAUAUUUAGGAUUCCACAAAAGUCACUGAAAAUAACUGAGUGCAUGACAUGUCACAAAACAAGGGAAAGAAAUCAUUUUUUGAGGGUCAGUCGUCUUACAUCUUUUGUAACUAAUUUAAUCCCCAAAACAAUCCAAUAAAGUAGAAGUUAUUCUAAAUUGAAUUUUAAGCAUGAGAAUGGGAAUUACUCAUCAAAAGUCAAAAAUAAUCGUGCAGCAGGGCAAAAACUAAAGGCUGACAUCAGAACCCAUGUUCUUUUCACUGUUGAUGUGCUAGGGCUGCAGGAACAAAAUACUGCAAACUAGGCAGCUUAAACAAAUUUAUUGUCAGAGGUUUGACUGGAAGUCCCAAAUCAAGGUAUUGGCAGGGUUGGUUCCUUCUGAGAGCUGUCAUGGGAGCCUGUUAAUGUAUCUCAGCGUCUGGGCAUUCCUUGGCUUGUGGCAGCAUACCCCCGCCAGUCUUCACAUGACGUUUUCCAUGUCCAUGUCUGUCUGCACACAGCGUUCUUUUUAUGAGGACAUCAGUCAUAUUGGAGUACGGUAGGUGCUACUCUAAUAUGACCUCAUGUUAACUAAUCAUGUCCACAACAACCCUGUUUCCAAAUAAGGUCACACGGUAAAAUACUGGAAGUGAGGUCUUUAACACAUGAAUUUGAAGGGGACACAAUUUAACCCAUAACACACCGUAUCCCGAAAUAACUAUCCAAUGUAAUUUUUUUAAAAGACACAAAACUAGCCGAAAUUAUAAAAGGUUAUGAUUGCAAUCCUGGUGUCCAAUUACAUUCUCCCUCCUGCAGAAGCUGUGGGGAAUCCUGUCUCAGAAAACCAAUUUCUAUUUUGUCACAUGUCCAUCUAUGCAAAAUACAUGUACUUUGUCCCUGACAUAGGGCAACAAUGCUGAAUUUACUAAGACUCAUUUUUGAGCAUGGUUUGAUAGGGAAUUAAGAUUUACUAGGUAUUCUGUCAUUGUCCUCCUUACUGAUUAUUUUAACUGUGUCUCAAACGCUUGGAUAGUUAGUACGCUAUAGUGUUAUAAGCUGUUUGACAUGUUGCUUCAUAAAUUCUCAAGUUUUAUAUAUAUAUGUGUGUGUGUAUGUGUCAUAUAACAGGCACAACUGUUUUCGUGUGUAUCACUUUAUUGCACUUCACAGUUAUCAUGUUUCUUACAAAGUGGAGAUUUGUGGCAGCCCUGCAUGGAGCAAGUCUAUCAGCACCAUUUUUCUAACAGUAUGUGCUCACUUCAUGUCUCUGUGUCACAUUUUGGUAAUUCUUGGAAUGUUUCAAAUGUUUCCAUUAUUAAAUCAGUUAUGGUGAUCUGUGAUUAGUGAUCUUUGAUAUUACUGUCAUAAUUGUUUGGGAGGCACUAUGAACCACCCCUAUAUAAGACAGCAAACUGAGUCAAUAAAUGUUUUAUAUGUUCUAACCACU